This 493-nucleotide long non-coding RNA is filed under the name Volvox carteri. RNAcentral's name for it is "long non-coding RNA (VCAR_LNC003360)". The record is from RNAcentral. Lineage: Eukaryota; Viridiplantae; Chlorophyta; Chlorophyceae; Chlamydomonadales; Volvocaceae.
GGUACGCUCCUCAGUAAUUAGGUGCCUCUCCAAGUGCUUCCGGACCACGGGGUUUAAGCCCUCAAGGAAGCGUUCGGCGACUUGGUGUUUACUGACUCUGCCGUCUAGCUUCUUCUCAAGCGCUAUCAGCAUAUCCUUAAGGACUAUCGGAGAAAGAGCUCCCUGCUGGAUGCUUUUGAAGCGCGCUAGAUCACUUUCCGCGCGCGCGGAGGCAAAGUUUUCCUCUAAAAUGUGGGCGUAGUAGUCGUAUAGUUGGCGAGGAGAGAUGGCGUUGGCCGCCGCACCUGGUUCAGCUACUCUGAAGUGUGCUGCAGCUCUGGCUAUGAGGUCAGGUCUGUGGGAGUUGUACCACGCCUCGAAUGGCGUGUUACGACCAGGCAGUGCGUCAAGGUACGAUUUGAGGCUCUCAACAGACAAGUUGUUCCUAGUGAGAGGGUAGGCAACCCCUUGCUGGAAAACCUUAGUGAGGAAGUCAUCCAACCCGUUGUGCUGG